This 1346-nucleotide ribosomal RNA is filed under the name uncultured bacterium. RNAcentral describes it as "partial 16S ribosomal RNA". It matches the Rfam family "Bacterial small subunit ribosomal RNA", at positions 28 to 1381 of the family's 1533-position model. The record is from RNAcentral.
GACGAACGCUGGCGGCGUGCUUAACACAUGCAAGUCGAACGGAAAGGCCCUGCUUUUGUGGGGUGCUCGAGUGGCGAACGGGUGAGUAACACGUGAGUAACCUGCCCUUGACUUUGGGAUAACUUCAGGAAACUGGGGCUAAUACCGGACAGGAGCUCCUGCCGCAUGGUGGGGGUUGGAAAGUUUCGGCGGUUGGGGAUGGACUCGCGGCUUAUCAGCUUGUUGGUGGGGUAGUGGCUUACCAAGGCUUUGACGGGUAGCCGGCCUGAGAGGGUGACCGGCCACAUUGGGACUGAGAUACGGCCCAGACUCCUACGGGAGGCAGCAGUGGGGAAUAUUGCACAAUGGGCGGAAGCCUGAUGCAGCAACGCCGCGUGCGGGAUGACGGCCUUCGGGUUGUAAACCGCUUUCGCCUGUGACGAAGCGUGAGUGACGGUAAUGGGUAAAGAAGCACCGGCUAACUACGUGCCAGCAGCCGCGGUGAUACGUAGGGUGCGAGCGUUGUCCGGAUUUAUUGGGCGUAAAGGGCUCGUAGGUGGUUGAUCGCGUCGGAAGUGUAAUCUUGGGGCUUAACCCUGAGCGUGCUUUCGAUACGGGUUGACUUGAGGAAGGUAGGGGAGAAUGGAGUUCCUGGUGGAGCGGUGGAAUGCGCAGAUACCAGGAGGAACACCAGUGGCGAAGGCGGUUCUCUGGGCCUUUCCUGACGCUGAGGAGCGAAAGCGUGGGGAGCGAACAGGCUUAGAUACCCUGGUAGUCCACGCUGUAAACGGUGGGUACUAGGUGUGGGGUCCAUUCCACGGGUUCCGUGCCGUAGCUAACGCUUUAAGUACCCCGCCUGGGGAGUACGGCCGCAAGGCUAAAACUCAAAGGAAUUGACGGGGCCCCGCACAAGCGGCGGAGCAUGCGGAUUAAUUCGAUGCAACGCGUAGAACCUUACCUGGGUUUGACAUGGAUCGGGAGUGCUCAGAGAUGGGUGUGCCUCUUUUGGGGUCGGUUCACAGGUGGUGCAUGGCUGUCGUCAGCUCGUGUCGUGAGAUGUUGGGUUAAGUCCCGCAACGAGCGCAACCCUUGUUCACUGUUGCCAGCACGUUAUGGUGGGGACUCAGUGGAGACCGCCGGGGUCAACUCGGAGGAAGGUGGGGAUGACGUCAAGUCAUCAUGCCCCUUAUGUCCAGGGCUUCACGCAUGCUACAAUGGCUGGUACAGAGAGUGGCGAGCCUGUGAGGGUGAGCGAAUCUCGGAAAGCCGGUCUCAGUUCGGAUUGGGGUCUGCAACUCGACCUCAUGAAGUCGGAGUCGCUAGUAAUCGCAGAUCAGCAACGCUGCGGUGAAUACGUUCCCGGGGCU